GACAAUUAUGGAUAUAAGAAUCACAAGCUAUGACUGGCAUGAGUUCUUUCCACAUAUGCCACAUAACAUUGGAGUAGUGAUUGUCCUAUGGGCGCCAGUCCUUCUGGUCUAUUUCAUGGACACACAAAUUUGGUAUGCUAUAUUCUCUACAAUUGUUGGAGGGAUCUAUGGUGCAUUCAGCCACCUUGGCGAGAUAAGGACGCUAGGGAUGUUACGAUCACGAUUUGAGUCAAUUCCUUCAGCUUUUAGUGAACGUCUCGUGCCAUCUUCCAAAAAAGAAAAAAAGCAUAGAUAUGAGGAUGAUUCUUUGGAGAGGAAGAACAUCGCGAAGUUCUCUCAGAUGUGGAAUGAGUUCAUACUGUCCUUGCGGAUGGAGGAUCUGAUCAGCCAUAAGGAAAGAGAUCUGCUUCUUGUACCGUAUUCGUCAAGUGAAGUGUCUGUUAUUCAGUGGCCUCCUUUUUUGCUCGCUAGUAAGAUUCCAAUAGCACUGGAUAUGGCAAAAGAUUUCAGGGGAAAAG
This 518-nucleotide unclassified non-coding RNA is filed under the name Hevea brasiliensis (rubber tree). Lineage: Eukaryota; Viridiplantae; Streptophyta; Magnoliopsida; Malpighiales; Euphorbiaceae. The record is from RNAcentral.